CCUACGGGAGGCAGCAGUGAGGAAUAUUGGUCAAUGGACGAGAGUCUGAACCAGCCAAGUAGCGUGAAGGAUGACUGCCCUAUGGGUUGUAAACUUCUUUUAUAUGGGAAUAAAAUGUUCCACGUGUGGGAUUUUGUAUGUACCAUAUGAAUAAGGAUCGGCUAACUCCGUGCCAGCAGCCGCGGUAAUACGGAGGAUCCGAGCGUUAUCCGGAUUUAUUGGGUUUAAAGGGGGCGUAGGUGGUUUGUCAAGUCAGUUGUGAAAGUUUGCGGCUCAACCGUAAAAGUGCAGUUGAAACUGGAAGUCUUGAGUACAGUAGAGGUGAGCGGAAUUCGUGGUGUAGCGGUGAAAUGCUUAGAUAUCACGAAGAACUCCGAUUGCGAAGGCAGCUCACUGGACUGCAACUGACACUGAGGCUCGAAAGUGUGGGUAUCAAACAGGAUUAGAUACCCUUGUAGUC
RNAcentral lists this ribosomal RNA (460 nucleotides) under uncultured bacterium. RNAcentral describes it as "partial 16S ribosomal RNA". It matches the Rfam family "Bacterial small subunit ribosomal RNA", at positions 338 to 795 of the family's 1533-position model. The record is from RNAcentral.